GACGAACGCUGGCGGCGUGCUUAACACAUGCAAGUCGAACGGAAAGGCCCUGCUUUUGUGGGGUGCUCGAGUGGCGAACGGGUGAGUAACACGGGAGUAACCUGCCCUUGACUUUGGGAUAACUUCAGGAAACUGGGGCUAAUACCGGAUAGGAGCUCCUGCUGCAUGGUGGGGGUUGGAAAGUUUCGGCGGUUGGGGAUGGACUCGCGGCUUAUCAGCUUGUUGGUGGGGUAGUGGCUUACCAAGGCUUUGACGGGUAGCCGGCCUGAGAGGGUGACCGGCCACAUGGGGACUGAGAUACGGCCCAGACUCCUACGGGAGGCAGCAGUGGGGAGUAUUGCACAGUGGGCGGAAGCCUGAUGCAGCGACGCCGCGUGCGGGAUGACGGCCUUCGGGUUGUAAACCGCUUUCGCCUGUGACGAAGCGUGAGUGACGGUAAUGGGUAAAGAAGCACCGGCUAACUACGUG
RNAcentral lists this ribosomal RNA (468 nucleotides) under uncultured bacterium. RNAcentral describes it as "partial 16S ribosomal RNA". It matches the Rfam family "Bacterial small subunit ribosomal RNA", at positions 28 to 507 of the family's 1533-position model. The record is from RNAcentral.